UAAUUUUCGAAAAUUAGUAAUAUUAAAAUGUAAAACUAUAUUUUAUGUCACGUGUCAUCUUUCGGGAGAAGUUUUUUUCGCUGAUGUGGACGCUCUAUGGAGCCUCAAAAGGUUCAUUUUAUUAGUAUAGAUUUGGUUUGAAAAAUAUAAUUGGAUUUGUUUGUGUUUCAUAACUCAGGUUCACAUGGGCCUGCAAAAUUAAUAAAACCGAAGCACAUUAGACGUCUUUCUAAGCUGUAUCCGCCGUUAGGGGGUUCAUCAUUCUGCAAAUCGACUUAAGAUGUAGCACCUAUAGAGUUCAUGAUAUCCUCAGAGAGACGAGUCUUCGUUGAUGGUCGAUGCAUCUGUAUCUGUUAGCGUCGGUUCGUAUUUGAUUCUUCCUCUCACAGAUGUUACAAGUUCAUUGAUUCAAUAUCAGUUACGAAUCUCGCAUUCAAUGUCUAUUUGCCCUCUUACCAUCUAUAGAAAGGUAAGGCCUCACCCAUGAAAAUCAUUUUCACAGUUCCAAUAGUGUUGGAUAUUUGUUUCUCAGUAUAAUGGCUAAGCAGUCUGUUCUACUUGCUGAUUUGAAGGAAUGUCGGUGUUCUUUCACCGUCGAGAUGAUGCGGUUGCUCAGAUGCUGAGAAGCCAUAUUGUUAAACGCGGUGGGGAGUUGAUGGCAGUUUACAUGAUCUUCAUUCCGACGGUCUAGUGCGGUUGCUCAGAUUCUCGAUGUCUUUGACCAUAUUUCUUAUCACCUGGUUUUAACUGAACGGAGAUAAAGACAUCGAGGGUUCACUUCUUGAGAUUCGUUAACGACGGGUUGAUUAGCAAUAACGGUAUCGUCCAAAUCUAACGCUUUUGGCGACGAAGAAACCGAUGAGAAGAGGAUAGCUCCUAAGUCUACUCGCGAAUGAAGUGACUUUAUGGGUUUGUCUUCGAUUUGCAGAGAUGGUCGAGUGAUCUGGUGGUUUUCCAAGGAGAAGGGAAAGGAGGGUUUUAGGUGUGGGAGAUGAGAUUAUGAUGUUGGAUCUGAAGAAAAUUGAUUAACGUAGAGAGCUUUGAACCUGUGGCGUCUUUGUGAGAGAGAGGGAGAGGUAUCAAUGAGAAACAUGGAAUGAGAAAUGCAUCAUUAGAAAUGCAACAUUCAAUAAAAUAAGGAUGUUGGAAAAGCUGUAGUAGGGAGAUAUUCAAAAGUACUUUAGUUUCUGGCUUCUAAUGUAUUUGCUUGGAUUGAUCGUGUUCCCUGCGUACACAAAAACAUGAAAGCAGAAGAUUCCAAGAGUUGAACAAGUCUGAGUGCAGCUGCAAGAUGAGAUGAAGAGACAUGAAGGUCUAACAACAGCAUAUGAGGUGGAGAAUAAUACCAAAACUGAUGAGAGGUAAGAACUGAGAGUAAUCACUGAUGAGAGGUAAGAACUGAGAGUAAUCUUGGGAAAACAAAAGAAAAUAAUAUAAGUUUAGAAAUAGAGGUCAAAACGUUGAAAGAAAGGAAAAAUGUUACGAGGGUGACAUGGGGACAUAGAAUUUUCAGAGGGCUUUUGUUUGUGUAUGUUUAUGCAUCAUGUAAUACAAAACUUUUGUGGGUAUGUGUCUCUGAGAUGUGAUUAGUGUAUGCUCUUUUCUGAUCUAAUAUAAUAAAACAGAUAACGUUCAA
This is a long non-coding RNA of Brassica napus (rape), 1636 nucleotides long. RefSeq lists it as uncharacterized. The record is from RefSeq and is a predicted model, not a curated record. NCBI's taxonomy places the organism in Eukaryota, Viridiplantae, Streptophyta, Magnoliopsida, Brassicales, Brassicaceae. The transcript has 3 exons.